This 479-nucleotide long non-coding RNA is filed under the name Salvia miltiorrhiza (redroot sage). RNAcentral describes it as "long non-coding RNA (SMIL_LNC006263)". Lineage: Eukaryota; Viridiplantae; Streptophyta; Magnoliopsida; Lamiales; Lamiaceae. The record is from RNAcentral.
UUGUUUUUAGUGCUGAUGGUCUGAUUCUGCAUGAUGUAGGCUUAUCCACACAAGAUUCUGACAGGAAGAAGAGACAGGAUGCCGAGUUUAAGACAGACCGGUGGCCUCUCUGGUUUCACGAAGCGGUCUGAGAGCGACUAUGACUGCUUUGGUGCCGGUCACAGUUCCACAACUAUCUCUGCAGGACUAGGUAUGAUCCUAAAUUGUUACAGAGUUGAGUUGAAUCGCAGAGUCCUUUGAAAUUGAGCUGUUUAUAUGAGAUAAGCAGAAAAAAUGAUGUAAAUCUCAUGUUGGUCUGAAAUAAAUAACUGAUUUAGGAUUGGAGUUUACUUGGCUUACCAGGAAUGGCUGUGGGGAGGGAUCUGAAAGGAAGAAAGAACAAUGUCGUGGCUGUGAUAGGCGACGGGGCUAUGACAGCUGGUCAGGCCUAUGAGGCAAUGAACAAUGCUGGCUACUUGGACUCGGACAUGAUUGUUAUU